RNAcentral lists this long non-coding RNA (295 nucleotides) under Carica papaya (papaya). Its description in RNAcentral is "long non-coding RNA (CPAP_LNC016449)". The record is from RNAcentral. Lineage: Eukaryota; Viridiplantae; Streptophyta; Magnoliopsida; Brassicales; Caricaceae.
AAGGCUUUUAAGGCAUGUUGACAUUUUUAGUCUCUUAUAUACAGUGUUUGUUCUUUAGUUUAAUUUUUGGAUAGUUCUGUUCAGUUUCGCUUAAGGAAUAGAGUAUGCUAGAAUAAUCCCUGGAAUAUAAUUGGCUUUUGUUCGAUAACCUGGUUUACUUGAUUUACACCUUUUAUUAUGCAAUUAGAGUAUAUUGCAAAUGUUUUUAAUCUAUGUAAUACCUUUUUCCCCCAUAAAUCUUGAUGUAUGAGUGUGUUAUGACUCUGGCUUCUAUUUUGCUUCUCCUCCUGUCUUU